UUCAAUAUCAAUGAAGUUUACUACUUUCAGAGUCGUAAUAAAUUUAUUCUUGUCGAUCAAUUUCUAGGGCUUUUUCCCUCCACAUUUUCUCAUAAAAUCUCUACGAAACCCUAAAACUCAGAGAAAAUUGAGCUCUCUCCGACCAAAUUAAGCUCUCUCUGGCUACCAUGGGAGCGGCGGCGAGCUCAUCAUCUUCAUCAACCUCGGAUAAAUAGAGAUCGCAAAGCUAUGUGUGACGUUGAGUCCGUUUGGAGUUUCCUGUGAGAUUUUGAUUCAUAGCUUUUUGUCAUGUUUUGAUGAUCAUGAUAAAACGUCCGGUGAAGCCUGUUCAUAAGUUUGAUGACGUCAGCCGGCUCACUCAUAAUUCGCCAUGGGUGUAGAGAAGUAGAAGAACGAAGAGGUUGUGAAAUCACAUGGCUGGUGCCCUAAGAUCGAGCUUGCCGUCGAGGCCACAACAGCUUUUGUCCGAUGAAGGUCACAUCGAUUAAGCUUGAUUCCGAGACUGAGUUCAUUACCAGCCAAAGUCGACCUAAGGCGACAUAUGUAACUCGGCUUAUUCGAGGUUACUAAACACAUGCAUUUAAGUCAAACUUUGGGUCAUGGCCAUCGGGUUCUGCACCUUCUGCUGCUCCUGAGGAGGGUAGAAGAAAAGUUGCAGCUCUAUUGAAGCAACAAGGUGUUCGUCUCAAAGGGCUUGCAAGAAGUUCUGAUGUUACCGAGUAAAUCCCACCUUUGCUUGACAAAAACGGAAAAAUUGAGGUGAGGCGGACUAAUGGCAGUGCUAAUUAGUUACUCAGGGAUCUUCCCAUAAUCCAUAGUGGUUUUUGUUAAUCCUUGGUGAAAAGUUAAUGAUAAAGUCCCUAGAUUUUAAAACUUAAUGAUAAAGUCCCUAGAUUUUAUUUAUAACAAAAAAAGUUAUUUUGUGCUAAUUUAAAUUCGACUUUUUAGAUCAACCUUAAUACCUUAUUUGAAGGUAAAUAAGUGUCAUAUUCUUUGCUCGAGACAGAGGUGUUGAUUUUUAAAGGCAAGUAAUAAGUAAAAAGAAGCAGAUGACUAUAUACAUGUUUGUGUGGUCCAAAUGUUGAGUCAAAGAAGGUUUGACUUUUUAUUUUUUAUUCUUUAGCUCUUACUUUUCUCUACUGUUCCGAUCAACAUUAAUGGCUAAGCUGUAUUAUCUUUAUGAUCAAUGGUUAAGGUUGAAAAAUUCAAGUCAAAAUGGCUUCGGGUAAAAAACCUGCCUCAAUUGCUGCAAUUAGACGGGUAUGUUUAGAUCAAUUUUGCGGAUAGUAACGGGUCAAUACGGCAGUGGAACAUGACGGGUACAAAGUUGGACAUGAUAGCCGUGGUCGGCUAGGGCCAAAAGUGAGAGCAGCGGAUCUAAUGGACAAAGCAUGACUACGCAUAGCAUAGACAAUUGUGACACCCCACGAAAACGCUCAACAACACUAGCUUCCUCAGUGACUGCACGCUAAAUUUCGGGACGAAAUUUCUUUCAACUUGGGAAUAAUGUGACAACCCGUAACCUUGAGGCCGUUAGGUGCUUAGAUGGAGCUUGCACAGGAGGAUGAGGUCGUUGUGGGACAUGGACUGUUGAGUUCCAUGUUAAACUUAUGAACUUUUAUACAUUAUAUGGUUUUGUACUUAAUGCUUCCGCUGAUAACUUAAACUUUGUUGAAAUGUUUUGACACCAAUUAUAUUGUUUGGUUUUGACUUUUAUUUAUUUAAUU
This 1727-nucleotide long non-coding RNA is filed under the name Helianthus annuus (common sunflower). RNAcentral describes it as "hypothetical non coding rna". The record is from RNAcentral. Lineage: Eukaryota; Viridiplantae; Streptophyta; Magnoliopsida; Asterales; Asteraceae.